Molecule: ribosomal RNA, 452 nt
Filed under: uncultured bacterium
Lineage: Bacteria
Description: bacterial SSU rRNA
Rfam family: Bacterial small subunit ribosomal RNA
Source: RNAcentral
AAUGAACGCUGGCGGCAUGCCUAACACAUGCAAGUCGAACGAAGGCUUCGGCCUUAGUGGCGCACGGGUGCGUAACGCGUGGGAAUCUGCCCCUGGGUUCGGAAUAACAGCGAGAAAUUGCUGCUAAUACCGGAUGAUGACGAAAGUCCAAAGAUUUAUCGCCCAGGGAUGAGCCCGCGUAGGAUUAGCUAGUUGGUGGGGUAAAGGCUCACCAAGGCGACGAUCCUUAGCUGGUCUGAGAGGAUGAUCAGCCACACUGGGACUGAGACACGGCCCAGACUCCUACGGGAGGCAGCAGUGGGGAAUAUUGGACAAUGGGCGAAAGCCUGAUCCAGCAAUGCCGCGUGAGUGAUGAAGGCCUUAGGGUUGUAAAGCUCUUUUACCCGGGAUGAUAAUGACAGUACCGGGAGAAUAAGCUCCGGCUAACUCCGUGCCAGCAGCCGCAGUAACAC